UCGAACGAGACUUUUCGUUAUAGCAAUAUGAUGGAAAGUUUAGUGGCGAACGGGUGCUUAACACGUGGGCAACCUGCCAUGAAGUGGGGGAUAGCUCGCCGAAAGGCGAAUUAAUACCGCAUGUGAUUAGAGAGGACAUCCUUUCGAAAUUAAAGUCGGGGCAACCUGACGCUUCUUGUGGGGCCCGCGGCCUAUCAGCUAGUUGGUGAGGUAACGGCUCACCAAGGCUUUGACGGGUAGCUGGUCUGAGAGGACGACCAGCCACACUGGGACUGAGACACGGCCCAGACACCUACGGGUGGCAGCAGUCGAGAAUUUUUGACAAUGGGGGAAACCCUGAUCGAGCGACGCCGCGUGGAGGAUGAAGGUCUUCGGAUUGUAAACUCCUGUCAUUGGGGAACAAGGUGCAUACGUUAACUACGUGUGCAUUGAUAGUACCCGAAGAGGAAGAGACGGCUAACUCUGUGCCAGCAGCCGCGGUAAUACAGAGGUCUCAAGCGUUGUUCGGAUUCAUUGGGCGUAAAGGGUGCGUAGGCGGCGCGGUAAGUCGGGUGUGAAAUCUCGGAGCUUAACUCCGAAACUGCAUUCGAUACUGCCGUGCUUGAGGACUGGAGAGGAGACUGGAAUUUACGGUGUAGCGGUGAAAUGCGUAGAUAUCGUAAGGAAGACCAGUGGCGAAGGCGGGUCUCUGGACAGUUCCUGACGCUGAGGCACGAAGGUCAGGGGAGCAAACGGGAUUAGAUACCCCGGUAGUCCUGACAGUAAACGGUGCACGUUUGGUGUGGGAGGAUUCGAC
This 796-nucleotide ribosomal RNA is filed under the name uncultured bacterium. RNAcentral's name for it is "bacterial SSU rRNA". It matches the Rfam family "Bacterial small subunit ribosomal RNA", at positions 62 to 836 of the family's 1533-position model. The record is from RNAcentral.